This 431-nucleotide ribosomal RNA is filed under the name uncultured bacterium. RNAcentral's name for it is "bacterial SSU rRNA". It matches the Rfam family "Bacterial small subunit ribosomal RNA", at positions 917 to 1350 of the family's 1533-position model. The record is from RNAcentral.
GGGCCCGCACAAGCGGUGGAGUAUGUGGUUUAAUUCGAUGCAACGCGAAGAACCUUACCAGGGUUUGACAUCCUGCGAAUCUCUUGGAAACAGGAGAGUGCCUUCGGGAACGCAGUGACAGGUGGUGCAUGGCUGUCGUCAGCUCGUGUCGUGAGAUGUUGGGUUAAGUCCCGCAACGAGCGCAACCCACGUCUUUAGUUGCCAGCAUUUAGUUGGGCACUCUAGAGAGACUGCCGGUGAUAAACCGGAGGAAGGUGUGGAUGACGUCAAGUCAUCAUGCCCCUUACAUCCUGGGCUACACACGUGCUACAAUGGUACUUACAAUGGGAUGCAAAGAGGCGACUCUUAGCUAAUCCCUAAAAUGUACCUCAGUUCGGAUUGUACUCUGUAACUCGAGUGCAUGAAGCUGGAAUUGCUAGUAAUCGCGGAUC